GUACUGUGCGGGGAGGGUGCGCUGGUUUGACGUAGGGCGAGAGCGUUGUUCGGGGUUGGUGUGAGGAAGGGGUGUGUAGGCGGGUGUUUAAGGUUGGUGUGGAAGAUCCUGGGUCAACUGGGAGGGUGCGCGGAAUACUGACUGACUAGGGUGCUGGAGAGGAGAGUGGAAUUCCUGGUGUAGCGGUGAAAUGCGUAGAUAGCAGGAGGAACACCGGUGGUGUAGACGGCUCUCUGGACCGUAACUGACGCUGAGACACGAAAGCGUGGGUAGCAAACAGGAUUAGAUACCCUUGUAGUC
This 300-nucleotide ribosomal RNA is filed under the name uncultured Lactobacillus sp. RNAcentral's name for it is "bacterial SSU rRNA". It matches the Rfam family "Bacterial small subunit ribosomal RNA", at positions 496 to 795 of the family's 1533-position model. The record is from RNAcentral. Lineage: Bacteria; Bacillati; Bacillota; Bacilli; Lactobacillales; Lactobacillaceae.